GACGGAUCAUCGUCCUCUCAAUCGGACAAUAUCCUUUGGGACGGACCAACGUCCUCCCGAACGGUCAAAGUAAACAUUUGUACAGUUCUUUAGAACGAAUACGUUUAGUUCCCUGGAACGAACUUUAUAAAUUGGUUCUUUAUAUCUUCGGUAGUGAUAAGGUUGGUUCGGUUGUGGUAAGGUUGGUUCGGUAGUAAUAAGGUUGGUUCUUUAUAUUUUCGGUUGGUAUAAGGUUGGUUUGGUUGUGAUAAGGUUGGUUCUCUAUCUUUGGUUGUGAUAAGGUUGGUUCGGUUGGGAUAAGGUUGGUUCUCUGUAUUCGGUUGUGAUAAGGUUAGUUCUUUAUAUUCGGUUGGUAUAAGGUUAGUUCUCUAUAUUCGGUUGUGAUAAGGUUGAUUCUUUAUAUCUUCGGUUGUGAUAAGGUUGGUUCGGUUGGUAUAAGGUUGGUUCAGUUGGGAUAAGGUUGGUUCUCUAUAUUCGGUUGUGAUAAGGUUGGUUCUUUAUAUUCGG
This 507-nucleotide long non-coding RNA is filed under the name Panax ginseng (ginseng). Its description in RNAcentral is "long non-coding RNA (PGIN_LNC003546)". The record is from RNAcentral. Lineage: Eukaryota; Viridiplantae; Streptophyta; Magnoliopsida; Apiales; Araliaceae.